RNAcentral lists this ribosomal RNA (253 nucleotides) under uncultured bacterium. Its description in RNAcentral is "partial 16S ribosomal RNA". It matches the Rfam family "Bacterial small subunit ribosomal RNA", at positions 524 to 776 of the family's 1533-position model. The record is from RNAcentral.
UACGGGGGGGGCAAGCGUUGUUCGGAAUUACUGGGCGUAAAGGGCUCGUAGGUGGCCAACUAAGUCAGACGUGAAAUCCCUCAGCUUAACUGGGGAACUGCGUCUGAUACUGGAUGGCUUGAGUUCGGGAGAGGGAUGCGGAAUUCCAGGUGUAGCGGUGAAAUGCGUAGAUAUCUGGAGGAACACCGGUGGCGAAGGCGGCAUCCUGGACCAACACUGACGCUGAGGAGCGAAAGCCAGGGGAGCAAACGGG